This 500-nucleotide ribosomal RNA is filed under the name uncultured bacterium. RNAcentral's name for it is "bacterial SSU rRNA". It matches the Rfam family "Bacterial small subunit ribosomal RNA", at positions 28 to 521 of the family's 1533-position model. The record is from RNAcentral.
GAUGAACGCUAGCUACAGGCUUAACACAUGCAAGUCGAGGGGCAGCGCAGUGUAGCAAUACAUGGGCGGCGACCGGCGCACGGGUGCGUAACGCGUAUCCAACCUUUCCGUUACUCAGGGAUAGCCUUCCGAAAGGGAGAUUAAUACCUGAUGGUGUUUGAAUUCCGCAUGUUAUUCAAACUAAAGAUUUAUCGGUAACGGAUGGGGAUGCGUGACAUUAGGCAGAUGGCGGGGUAACGGCCCACCAUGCCUACGAUGUCUAGGGGUUCUGAGAGGAAGGUCCCCCACACUGGAACUGAGACACGGUCCAGACUCCUACGGGAGGCAGCAGUGAGGAAUAUUGGUCAAUGGUCGGAAGACUGAACCAGCCAAGUAGCGUGAAGGAUGAAGGUUCUAUGGAUUGUAAACUUCUUUUAUACGGGAAUAAAACCACCUACGUGUAGGUGCUUGUAUGUACCGUAUGAAUAAGCAUCGGCUAACUCCGUGCCAGCAGCCGCGGU